Molecule: ribosomal RNA, 206 nt
Filed under: uncultured bacterium
Lineage: Bacteria
Description: partial 16S ribosomal RNA
Rfam family: Bacterial small subunit ribosomal RNA
Source: RNAcentral
CGCGUAGGCGGACAUUUAAGUCAGGGGUGAAAUCCCGAGGCUCAACCUCGGAACUGCCUUUGAUACUGGGUGUCUUGAGUAUGAGAGAGGUAUGUGGAACUCCGAGUGUAGAGGUGAAAUUCGUAGAUAUUCGGAAGAACACCAGUGGCGAAGGCGACAUACUGGCUCAUUACUGACGCUGAGGCGCGAAAGCGUGGGAGCAAACA